GUGACAGGCGCUUUGCCCCUGCAGGACGUGGAGCUGAAGGUGGAGGCGGCCUGCAGGGACAUGCAGGAGGAGUCCUACUUACCUGGCCACAGAUCCUUCACCUUCUCCAAAGAGCUGCCAUCCUAGCCCGGUGUGCGCCCGCCGCAGCGUGGCAGCGCCAGGGCCCCUCGCCCAGCGGAGACCCAGCGGCCCCGCCAGCCGGUCCGACAACCCCAGCACCGGGCCGGCCUGCCCCCCUGAAUUACCCCCCUGGCACCGCUGCACCGGCUGUUCCUCCCAAUAAAGGCAGAGCUACGCUGCGGAA
This is a non-coding RNA of Pelodiscus sinensis (Chinese soft-shelled turtle), 304 nucleotides long. Lineage: Eukaryota; Metazoa; Chordata; Testudines; Trionychidae. The record is from RefSeq and is a predicted model, not a curated record.